RNAcentral lists this ribosomal RNA (552 nucleotides) under Triticum aestivum (bread wheat). RNAcentral describes it as "partial small subunit ribosomal RNA". The record is from RNAcentral. Lineage: Eukaryota; Viridiplantae; Streptophyta; Magnoliopsida; Poales; Poaceae.
AUGGAGGAGGCAAUUAAGCAGCUUCGUGAGGUCGCCGACUCCUUGCAAGGCUGGAUGGUGCGUAUUGGGAGCUUUCUAGAGCGCGCGGAGGCUACUCUGCAAAGGCUCCCUGUUGCACAGGCUCCCGUGGUUGAGUCUUCUGUUGGCUUCAUGGAUGAGGCGGAUACGGAGCUCUUUGGUAGCUUCUCGCCCCGUGUUGGGUCUAGUUCGACGCCCCUUGUGUUGCCGGACUCCGUGGGUGAGGCAUCCGCCGAGGUUGUGUCUCCGGUGUUGCAGAUUAUGCCCGAGUUGCAGGUGUUGUGUGGGGAACAUGUUUCGUCUGUGUCGAUGGAGCAGCUCAAGUUGGGCUCUCUCCAGGCUUCGAAGGUGGACCAUGUGUCCUCACCACCCCCCGUGGAGCCUUGUCAGGCUUCGGAGGUGAACUUGGUGCCCUCACCACCACCCGUGGAGCCUUGUCAGGGGUCAGAAAACCUAUCUCUCAGCGUGGAGCAUGGAGUUUUAGAUGUUGCUGCCCUUCCCUCGUCUGCGACCGUCGGGCAGGUGAUGCUGUGA